GACUCCCAGGCCUUUAAACAUCAUUAAACAAAACAACGGCGAGCAGAUUAUUAGAAGACGGACAAGAAAGCGCCUUAACCCAGAGGCACUUCAGGCUGAGCAACUCAACAAACAGCAGAGGGGAAGUGGGGAGGAGCAGGUCAAUGGAAGCCCCUUAGAGAGGAGGUCAGAAGAUCACUUAAGUGAAAGUCAUCAGAGAGAAAUUCCACUUCCGAGCCUGAGUAAAUACGAAGCCCAGGGUUCAUUGACUAAAAGCCAUUCUGCUCAACAGCCGGUCCUGGUCAGCCAAACUCUGGAUAUUCACAAAAGGAUGCAGCCUUUGCACAUUCAGAUAAAAAGUCCUCAGGAAAGUACUGGAGAUCCAGGAAACAGUUCAUCCGUAUCUGAUGGGAAAGGAAGUUCUGAAAGAGGCAGCCCCAUAGAA
This 424-nucleotide long non-coding RNA is filed under the name Rattus norvegicus (Norway rat). RNAcentral describes it as "long non-coding RNA NONRATT026914". The record is from RNAcentral. Lineage: Eukaryota; Metazoa; Chordata; Mammalia; Rodentia; Muridae.